This 895-nucleotide long non-coding RNA is filed under the name Marmota monax (woodchuck). The record is from RNAcentral. Lineage: Eukaryota; Metazoa; Chordata; Mammalia; Rodentia; Sciuridae.
CUAAAACUACUCUUUAAAAAAAUGAAGUAUACUUUUAAAAAAGAUAGGCAAGGGCUAAAUAAGCCUUUGGAUUUGAAUAUUGUACAACAUUCUUUGCUUAUGUGUCAGUUGAAUGCUUAAAUGUAUUCAACUCACUUAAUGGUCACAGGUGCCAAAUGUGUCACUACAGUUAUUACAAAUGAGUCCUAAUUUACACAGGAACCAAAGAUAAGUGAGGGCAUGUGUCCAAAGGCACACAGCAAGCGAUAAAGAAUUGUCUCAUCUCAGCGCCAUAGUCUAUUCUCUGAACUACCCUGCUUUAGCUCACAAAAUAUGCUUUGGCAAGAGUCUUCUCAAGAUUACAACCAGCCUCCAGAUUGUUUAGUCAACUGAAGGAUGGACAUGUUUAACCAAUCUUAAAAAAAUAAAUGUCAGAAGCAGCAUUUUAUUGUGUUGGCAACUAGUACCCAAUUUCUGGUACCUUCUGCAUCCUGUUGGAGCUGUGACACAUCAUUUCACUUUUUUAAUGAGUACAUAGUAAUGUUUAAGUAAAACUGUGAGGCAGGAUAGAAUUGUAGUAUAGGUAAUGGAGUUAGAUCUGAGUGUGAAUUUGUCUCCAUUGCUUAACAGUGAGUAUGUUACUUAAGAUCUACCUUCAAAGCCUGACAUAGUAAACAUAAAAAAAUGAGACCAAAAUUCCUAAGCCAGAAAAACAGUUCAACUACCCAAACACCAGUUUUUAUGAAAUAAUGAUUAUGCAGAAUGGUUGACACAUUUAUGAGAAGGUGGUUCCUAAUUAGCAAUGUUUUCUUGAAACAGCUAUAUAGGAUUCUUUUCACUGAGGCAUAAAGUUGUGAAAUCUAAAUUAUAGUCUGGCUGCUCAUUCUGCAAAAGCUUAGGCAAGCCUAUAUCCUGC